Molecule: long non-coding RNA, 1226 nt
Organism: Phalaenopsis equestris
Lineage: Eukaryota; Viridiplantae; Streptophyta; Magnoliopsida; Asparagales; Orchidaceae
Exons: 4
Source: RefSeq, a predicted model, not a curated record
UGUUUGAGCGGGAGGAAUGGAAGUUAGGGCAUCAUAAACACUCCGGCGACGAUCCAAAUUCUCCGGGCUUCCUCUUCCACAUAUCUCAUUACUCAACCCUAGCUUUUUGAUUUUUGCGAAUCCUCCUCCUCAAUCUUUACCUUUUUCAGAGUUCCCCAAAUCCCAGAACACUUCGAAGGCGAUUGCCGCGAGAGUCGCGGCGGCGAGACAGAUCCAUGCCAACUGCGAACUCCUUCCUUCCAUCGCUGUGGAUUCAGUUAAAUAUAGUGAAAGAUCUAGCAGAGGCGCUGAAGCCCAUACAAGUGCAAAUGGGAUUCAAAUUUCAAGAACCCAAGAAUCCAUUCACUACUUGGACGCUUAAUUUAUAACAAUCAAUCAAACUUUGCAGCAGUUUCAACCACACGUUAAGAACUCUGGUAAACGAUUGGAGGAUUUAUCAUGCAGCAAGUGUCCAUGUACUUCAACUCAAGAAAAUAAGGGUGAUGAAUGCAAUUUUAGCCUGAAUUUUCGUCAAUCUACUGUACAGAAGAAAUCCGCAACAUAAGCAAUGUCAUUUAUUAAAUCAAUGAAAAUUGAGCUGCCAAGAUUCAACGGAAAUGGCGUCAAUAACUUGAUAUUCAAGGCAGAGGAUUAUUUUGAAUUCCACAACUCCCCUGAAUUAUGCCUACUUUUACAAUUAUGUGCAUAUAUUUCCUGUUGCACACGAUUCAGUUAUUCAGCUCACAACUGUAAUAACUGCAGGAAUUACAAUAUAUGCAAUUAUGCCCACUACUACAGUUAAGUUCUGGAAGGAUGCUGAUGGACCAAGGGGGAAGAUCAUAACGCAUUCCAUUAAAGGUGGUAAACAUGAGUGGUCGGCGGUGGUGACGCCAAAUGACGUGCGGUGGUUGACGGCUAUAAAAUUUGGAAGGUAUCACUAGGUCAUCAAUAUAAUGCAACACAUUAUGACCGUAUUUGAGAUACAUUGUUAGCAACAAGCGGUCUCUGACAACAAAGAUCAGGGAUGACUGAGUGUGGUUGACAACGGCUGAUGGGCGGUGUUCAAUUGUAGUUUACGGUCAUAGAGGCUAGAAGAUCUUAUUAAGUCUUCAGCCCAUAACAGACCUUAGAAUUCCUUAUCUUCUCUCCUUUUUAAUUGAAUAGAGUGUUUAUAGCCUCUAGGAUAUCAGCAUUUUGGUCUUUUGGUGAAUAACAUUUCCAGUCAUCUAAUCAAAUGAUCCAUAUUG